This 623-nucleotide ribosomal RNA is filed under the name Trichoderma sp. RNAcentral's name for it is "eukaryotic LSU rRNA". The stretch from base 244 to 397 matches the Rfam family "5.8S ribosomal RNA". The record is from RNAcentral. Lineage: Eukaryota; Fungi; Ascomycota; Sordariomycetes; Hypocreales; Hypocreaceae.
UUAGAGGAAGUAAAAGUCGUAACAAGGUCUCCGUUGGUGAACCAGCGGAGGGAUCAUUACCGAGUUUACAACUCCCAAACCCAAUGUGAACCAUACCAAACUGUUGCCUCGGCGGGGUCACGCCCCGGGUGCGUCGCAGCCCCGGAACCAGGCGCCCGCCGGAGGGACCAACCAAACUCUUUCUGUAGUCCCCUCGCGGACGUUAUUUCUUACAGCUCUGAGCAAAAAUUCAAAAUGAAUCAAAACUUUCAACAACGGAUCUCUUGGUUCUGGCAUCGAUGAAGAACGCAGCGAAAUGCGAUAAGUAAUGUGAAUUGCAGAAUUCAGUGAAUCAUCGAAUCUUUGAACGCACAUUGCGCCCGCCAGUAUUCUGGCGGGCAUGCCUGUCCGAGCGUCAUUUCAACCCUCGAACCCCUCCGGGGGGUCGGCGUUGGGGAUCGGGAACCCCUAAGACGGGAUCCCGGCCCCGAAAUACAGUGGCGGUCUCGCCGCAGCCUCUCCUGCGCAGUAGUUUGCACAACUCGCACCGGGAGCGCGGCGCGUCCACGUCCGUAAAACACCCAACUUCUGAAAUGUUGACCUCGGAUCAGGUAGGAAUACCCGCUGAACUUAAGCAUAUCAAU